RNAcentral lists this transfer RNA (66 nucleotides) under Callichirus major. RNAcentral describes it as "tRNA-Tyr". It matches the Rfam family "tRNA". Rfam says of the family: Transfer RNA (tRNA) molecules are approximately 80 nucleotides in length. The record is from RNAcentral. Lineage: Eukaryota; Metazoa; Arthropoda; Malacostraca; Decapoda; Callianassidae.
AAUAAGAUGGCCGAAAUUUAAGCAGUAAACUGUAAAUUUAUACAUGAGCAUUAAACUCUCUUAUUA